GCUCAUUUUCUCUAUCGAUAAACCUGUUCAGAUUUGCAGCUUAGCUGCAUCAGUAAAAUACUAAGCAAACCACAAAAUAAAUGGAGGAAUGAAGAGAAAUAUUUUAAGGAGAAUGAAAGAAAUUCUAGAACAUACCUCAAAUGUGUGUGAAAAUAUGCAUAUACAUGUAUAUGAAGAAUGUAUCCAACUAUCCAUUGCAAACAUACAUGUGUGCAUAUGUGUACGUAUUUCUUAUUUCACAUGGACAAUAUCCAUUUAAGAAUCAGUUUACUCCUUCAAUAUCAAAUGCAUUUUCUAUAAUACAAGAAGCCUAAGUGAAGACAAAACAUUAGCGUUGCAAUAGUGAUAUGUGAGUGUCAUUUUCAAAAGCAUUAAGACUGCAUGCUUAGGCAUCAUAGCCACAAAUGAGAAACAGACGAACAGUAAAAUAAAUUUCAUCCAAAUGCAGCAGUUUAGCAAUGUCUGGCAGCAGGAGAAAUGAGUUCCUUAGUCAAACAAACAAUCUAGGAUGAACAGAGAUCUUACUCAAUGUAGGCCAUUGGUGCAGCAUCACCAACUCUUAUGCGGGUCCGAAGCAGUCUUGUGUAACCACCUGCUCUAUCCUUGUAACGAUAAGCCAGUUCUGUAAAUAGCUUGUGAAGGACAUCAUCCCCUCUAACAAAAGCAGCUGCACGCCUUGCAGCACAAAGGGAGCCCUGUAAUUUUUGCCGAAUAGAAUGCAAUAAUUAUAGCAUGUUACUCCAUAUACUUUCACAAGGCUCCAUUUAUUCUUUUUAAGUAAAUUCAAUAGGAGCACUAAAGGGGCAUAGCUUACGCAAUUAAUGAAAGAAACAUCCUUAAACUAAACGACAAGGUAAAGCACAAAGAGAAAAAGGCUCAUAAAAAGUCAAGAAAUUCUUAAAAAGAAAGUUAACACAAAAUAUUAGAAUCCACCAAUGAAAGAAAUACGUCAGGAAGGUAGUGAGGCAGGGAUUUCACUUUUCCUGCAAUGCUACAUCCUGAACAAAUUGGGAAGUCCUUAUUUUUGUCUCCUCAGGGAUGGGAUUGGGGGAAAUUGAUCCCCGCCGGAGGGGAUGGAAGUAUAAUCUCUGCCCCACGGGGAUCCCCAACUUCAGGCCUAUACGAAUACUUAAUUUAGGGAGGUACGAGAUAGGAUGGAAAUUCCCCAUUGAGGUGGAGAUGAGGAUGGAAAAUGAGUUCAUCCUUGCCCCAUUCCCAUUCCCCAACUCCUAGAAUAAGCUAAGCCGUAGAGAAAGCCAAUUCUGUUUUAGCACUGUAUGAUAGUUCUCAGUUCAAGGCCACACCUAUUAUGCAUAUUUCCAAUUAUACCUGCAUAUAAAGAAUUUCUAAAGCUCAACAACAUAUGCUUCUUGCUAAAAUAUAUAAAGGGAAAAUGUUUAUAGAGAUUAAAAACCACAACUGUUGAGCAAAAUGCUUUUCACGUAAUCUUGAGAACCAUAUCGUGAACAAGCAAUAUAUCCUUCUAAUAAAGUUAAUUGCAAUUCAUGGGUGCAGGGGGGAAUCAUAAUCGCUACCUUUUCCCAAAAGUUUUAGAAUGAACAGAAGCAAAAAUAAGCCCCUUAACAAACAUAACAUGUUACUUUGUUGAGAUGCUAGGAACUUGGACAAGAUUGCAUUCAUAUCCUUAAGCCAGUAUCAUCUAUUCAACAUUUUAGAAAGUGCAGCAUGCAAUAGAAUGCUAACUUAAUCAUAUAAAUGAUUUCAUAAGCAAACCUCUUUCCCA
This 1744-nucleotide unclassified non-coding RNA is filed under the name Hevea brasiliensis (rubber tree). The record is from RNAcentral. Lineage: Eukaryota; Viridiplantae; Streptophyta; Magnoliopsida; Malpighiales; Euphorbiaceae.